Molecule: ribosomal RNA, 460 nt
Filed under: uncultured microorganism
Description: bacterial SSU rRNA
Rfam family: Bacterial small subunit ribosomal RNA
Source: RNAcentral
CCUACGGGGGGCUGCAGUCGAGGAUCUUUAGCAAUGGGCGAAAGCCUGACUAUGCGACGCCGCGUGAGGGAUGAAGGUUUUCGGAUCGUAAACCUCUUUCGAUAGGGAAGAAUACCCAUCUUAAUACGAUGGAAUGACGGUACCUAGAGAAGAAGCCACGGCCAACUCCGUGCCAGCAGCCGCGGUAAUACGGAGGUGGCGAGCGUUACUCGGAUUCAUUGGGUGUAAAGGGCAGGUAGGCGGACCAAAAAGUCCUAUUUGAAAUCCUUCAGCUCAACUGAAGAACUGGAUAGGAAACUGUUGGUCUUGAGGACAGAAGAGGAAAGCGGAAUUCCCGGUGUAAGAGUGAAAUCUGUAGAUAUCGGGAGGAACGCCUGUGGCGAAAGCGGCUUUCUGGUCUGUCCCUGACGCUGAACUGCGAAAGCUAGGGUAGCAAACAGGAUUAGAUACCCUGGUAGUC